RNAcentral lists this ribosomal RNA (749 nucleotides) under uncultured bacterium. Its description in RNAcentral is "bacterial SSU rRNA". It matches the Rfam family "Bacterial small subunit ribosomal RNA", at positions 28 to 776 of the family's 1533-position model. The record is from RNAcentral.
GAUGAACGCUGGCUGUGUGCCUAAUACAUGCAUGUCGAGCGAAGCACUUUUGUGCUUAGCGGCGAAUGGGUGAGUAACACGUACUUAACCUACCCUCAAGAUUGGGACAACACUUGGAAACGAGUGCUAAUACCAAAUACGUAUUUUUAUCGCAUGAUAGAUAUAUAAAAGGAGCUUCGGCUUCACUAGAGGAUGGGAGUGCGCUACAUUAGUUAGUUGGUAGGGUAAUGGCCUACCAAGACUAUGAUGUAUAGCGGGGCCGAGAGGCUGAUCCGCCACACUGGGACUGAGAUACGGCCCAGACUCCUACGGGAGGCAGCAGUAGGGAAUUUUCCACAAUGAACGAAAGUUUGAUGGAGCGACACAGCGUGCAGGAUGAAGGUCUUCGGAUUGUAAACUGCUGUUAUAAGAGAAGAAAAACCCUGGUAGGUAAUGACCAGGACUUGACGGUACCUUAUCAGAAAGCGACGGCUAACUAUGUGCCAGCAGCCGCGGUAAUACAUAGGUCGCAAGCGUUAUCCGGAAUUAUUGGGCGUAAAGAGUUCGUAGGUGGUUUUGUAAGUCUGAAGUUAAAUACCGGGGCUCAACCCCGGCCCGCUUUGGAUACUGCAAAACUAGAGUAAUAGAGAGGUUAGUGGAACUCCAAGUGAAGCGGUGGAAUGCGUAGAUAUUUGGAAGAACACCAAUGGCGAGGCAACUAACUGGAUAUUAACUGACACUGAGGAACGAAAGCGUGGGUAGCAAACAGG